Molecule: unclassified non-coding RNA, 240 nt
Filed under: Hevea brasiliensis (rubber tree)
Lineage: Eukaryota; Viridiplantae; Streptophyta; Magnoliopsida; Malpighiales; Euphorbiaceae
Source: RNAcentral
UGGCAAUCUGCAAAGACAUGACCCAGAUAACCUUGGGAGAAAUUCAUCAAAUGACGCUAGCUACUCUUGAAAAAAUAUGUGAUCAGCAGCACUUUUUGAGUGACAUGCUAGACAAUAAUAAGUCUCUGCGAAAAAUGUACAGAAAAUCUUAUCUCGCAAUCAAAUGCAAAGAAAAUAACUGCACUUGCAAAUCCAAAAAAAAGAAGCAUCUGAAGCAUUACAGAAUCAAUAUCAACAAGA